UGGCUCAGUUGGUAGAGCACGGUGUGUCCAACGCCAGGGUUGUGGGUUCGAUUCCCAC
Non-coding RNA from Salmo salar (Atlantic salmon), 58 nucleotides. NCBI's taxonomy places the organism in Eukaryota, Metazoa, Chordata, Actinopteri, Salmoniformes, Salmonidae. The record is from Rfam.